Molecule: long non-coding RNA, 330 nt
Filed under: Vicia faba (fava bean)
Lineage: Eukaryota; Viridiplantae; Streptophyta; Magnoliopsida; Fabales; Fabaceae
Source: RNAcentral
AUGUACGUCGCCACUUGCGAGAUUAACUAUCCUCUAUCAGAGAUUGGGACGAUGGCGUCGAUGUUGUGGAGAUAUCAAAAAGCAAUAGCAGGCUUCAACUCUACGUUGCGGCUUGGAAAUGUUGGAAAACGAAGGGAUGUUGGUUUAAACCAUAUUGCCCUCUUUGAAGGGAAAGUAGCGGGUGGUAAUGGAGAGCAAGUGGGUGUACAGUGUGAUUAUAGGCACAAUGGGAUUGUGAGGCUUAACCCGAGGGAUUGCUGGUACUGGUUAUCGGUGAAUUGUCUUAAUCCGACUUGUGCUUUUCGACAUCCUGUUAAUGUUUACCGAUGA